AUAAACUUCAUGUGAUUCAAGCAAGACCUUUGUGAUGUCGAUUAAGAAUGCGACCUUGCAUGCGGGAAUAACUAACUAUUUUCAUAUCUCAUUGCAUAAUUCAUGCCCUUUAUCAUUCAUCAAAGUCCCUUGAAAAUAGUUUUAAAUAUUUUUUGUUAGGAUUAGUUUUUAAACAUAAUAUUAGUCUAUAAAUUAAUGCAACGACUUUUGUUUUUGUCUCUCAAACAAAUUUGUUCUUAUGUUGACCUUUUUACUAUAAAGUGUGACAAAACUUCACCUACGUUUUUGAAAGCAGUAAUCAUCAUGUAAACCUUCAUAUAAGGCUUCACUCUUAAUCGUAUGUCCAACAAACCUUAUAUGACAUUGAUAAAUUAAUUAUAUUAAUUAUGUAUCGACUUUCUUUGAACAACUUUUAAUAUGGUUUCUCUUAUAUUUCAUGAUAAGUGUGAUCACAUCAUCAACUAAUUCUCAUGUUUUCUUUUGUUGUUCUAAUUUGUAUUGUUUCCUUUACAUUGGGAUGCAAAUGAAAUAGUUUUGUUCACGUAUGUAAACACAAGUUAAUUACAAUAGGUAAGUUGCUCAAUGAAAUAUAAUUUUAAGAGCACUUUAAAUAAGACUUAGCUGAAAAAACAUUGUGUUCAAGAUAAUGAAUUUGAUCCCUCUUCUGUUCUCUAGAUGCCUCUUUUUAUAGGCCUCAUUUUCUAGAUCUAAUAGGUCUUUCUUUGGAUGUCCAGGCCCAUUAACUCUCUGAGGUCAAUAUGGAUCACUUGUACCAGACGCGUGGAGCCGAUCAUGUUUCCUUGAACUGCUCGUCCGUACAAGGCACGUGGAGUCAAGGGUACACAGCUCACGUCACUUGUCUGUGCAAGACGUGUGGCGUGUUCUGAGAUACUCUCAAGAGGAGGACCACAAUGAUGUCUGGACAACGACUUGAUGGCGGAGCUCACAUUAUCUGAACGAUCAAACUAAGUUAAGCAGAUGAAGCUCGUUUUACCUGAACAAUCAAGCUGAGCUAAGCAGGUGGAGCUCACGUGACCUGAACAAUAAAGCUUAGACGUCAAGCAUGUUAUGGCGUAGACUGUCGACCUGAACCAGUCCAAGUUCUAUUAUAGUAAACAUUUUAUUUGUACCAACUGUAAACAAAAUUUAAUUUGGACAACGUCAUUUAUCCCAUAUUUUUAUUUUUGAGGGACUUUCAAUCUAUCUGUAUAUAUAAAGAGUGACAUGUGACAUGCCUAACAAGGUGCUGCCUUUUCUACAAUAUUUUAUUUUUGGGUACGACUUAUUUUUUGACAAUAGGGAAAGACUUCUGAUUUAUAAUUAUAUUA
Molecule: long non-coding RNA, 1328 nt
Filed under: Medicago truncatula (barrel medic)
Lineage: Eukaryota; Viridiplantae; Streptophyta; Magnoliopsida; Fabales; Fabaceae
Description: long non-coding RNA (MTRU_LNC004570)
Source: RNAcentral